RNAcentral lists this ribosomal RNA (401 nucleotides) under uncultured bacterium. RNAcentral describes it as "bacterial SSU rRNA". It matches the Rfam family "Bacterial small subunit ribosomal RNA", at positions 29 to 419 of the family's 1533-position model. The record is from RNAcentral.
AACGAACGCUGGCGGCGCGCCUAAUACAUGCAAGUCGAGCGAGAAGACGUAGCAAUACGUUUGUAAAGCGGCGAACGGGUGAGGAAUACGAUGGGUAACCUACCCUCGAGUGGGAAUAACCUAGCCGAAAGUUAGCUAAUACCGCGUACGCUCCUUGGACUUCCGGUUCAGGGAGGAAAGCGAUACCGUGGGUAUCGCGCUCUUGGAUGGGGCUCAUGUCCUAUCAGCUUGUUGGUGAGGAACGGCUCACCAAGGCUUCGACGGGUAGCUGGUCUGAGAGGACGAUCAGCCACACUGGCACUGCGACACGGGCCAGACUCCUACGGGAGGCAGCAGUAAGGAAUAUUGCGCAAUGGGCGAAAGCCUGACGCAGCGACGCCGCGUGGGGGAUGAAGGUCUUC